CGGCCUGAUGGCGGGGGACGCCGCGGCGGGGGUUCCGGCGCCGGAGGCGGAGAUUCCGGCUGCGGAAGCCGGCGUUCCGGCAGCCGACGCGCCGG
Molecule: transfer RNA, 95 nt
Filed under: Streptomyces rimosus subsp. rimosus
Lineage: Bacteria; Bacillati; Actinomycetota; Actinomycetes; Kitasatosporales; Streptomycetaceae
Description: tRNA-Gly
Source: RNAcentral